AACGAACGCUGGCGGCGCGUCUUAAGCAUGCAAGUCGAAUGGCAAGAUUGGUGCUUGCACCGAUCCUAGAAUGGCAGACUGGUGAGUAACACGUGGGUGACAUACCCUCUGGAUGGGGACAGCUGUUAGAAAUAGCAGGUAAUACCGAAUAAGCUUGUGCAGGUUAGAGUGGCAUAAGGAAAGGUGCUCCGGCACCACCAGAGGAAUGGCUCGCGGCCCAUUAGCUAGUUGGUGAGGUAACGGCCCACCAAGGCGAUGAUGGGUAUCCGGCCUAAGAGGGUAAACGGACACAUUGGGACUGAGAUACCGGCCCAGACUCCGUACGGGAGGCAGCAGCUAAGAAUAUUCCGCAAUGGACGAAAGUCUGACGGAGCGACGCCGCGUGGAUGAAUGAAGGCCGAAAGGUUGUAAAAUCCUUUUGAACUGGACGAAUAAGUGUGGCAGGGAAUGGUCAUAUGGUGACGGUACUAGUUUGAAUAAGAGGCGGCUAAUUACGUGCCAGCCGCCGC
This 509-nucleotide ribosomal RNA is filed under the name uncultured bacterium. RNAcentral's name for it is "bacterial SSU rRNA". It matches the Rfam family "Bacterial small subunit ribosomal RNA", at positions 29 to 518 of the family's 1533-position model. The record is from RNAcentral.